UACGGGGGGUGCGAGCGUUGUCCGGAAUCACUGGGCGUAAAGGGCGCGUAGGUGGUUUGAUAAGGGUGUGGUGAAAGCCCGGGGCUCAACCCCGGGUCUGCCGUGCCGACUGUCAAACUCGAGGGCUGUAGAGGCAGACGGAAUUCCGGGUGUAGCGGUGGAAUGCGUAGAGAUCCGGAGGAAGACCGGUGGCGAAGGCAGCCCCCUGGGCUAGCACUGACGCUCAGGCACGAAAGCGUGGGGAGCAAACAGG
Molecule: ribosomal RNA, 253 nt
Filed under: uncultured bacterium
Lineage: Bacteria
Description: partial 16S ribosomal RNA
Rfam family: Bacterial small subunit ribosomal RNA
Source: RNAcentral